GACGAACGCUGGCGGCGUGCUUAACACAUGCAAGUCGAACGGUGAACGAGGGAGCUUGCUCCCUCCGGAUCAGUGGCGAACGGGUGAGUAACACGUGAGCAAUCUGCCCCGAACUCUGGGAUAAGCGUUGGAAACGACGUCUAAUACCGGAUACGACUCGGGAGGGCAUCCUCUCCGCGUGGAAAGAACUUCGGUUCGGGAUGAGCUCGCGGCCUAUCAGCUUGUUGGUGAGGUAACGGCUCACCAAGGCGACGACGGGUAGCCGGCCUGAGAGGGUGACCGGCCACACUGGGACUGAGACACGGCCCAGAAUCCUACGGGAGGCAGCAGUGGGGAAUAUUGCACAAUGGGCGCAAGCCUGAUGCAGCAACGCCGCGUGAGGGACGACGGCCUUCGGGUUGUAAACCUCUUUUAGCAGGGAAGAAGCGAAAGUGACGGUACCUGCAGAAAAAGCACCGGCUAACUACGUG
RNAcentral lists this ribosomal RNA (470 nucleotides) under uncultured bacterium. RNAcentral's name for it is "partial 16S ribosomal RNA". It matches the Rfam family "Bacterial small subunit ribosomal RNA", at positions 28 to 507 of the family's 1533-position model. The record is from RNAcentral.